UACAGAGGGUGCGAGCGUUGUCCGGAAUUACUGGGCGUAAAGGGCUCGUAGGCGGCCAACUAAGUCAGACGUGAAAUCCCUCAGCUUAACUGGGGAACUGCGUCUGAUACUGGAUGGCUUGGAUUCGGGAGAGGAAUGCGGAAUUCCAGGUGUAGCGGUGAAAUGCGCAGAUAUCAGGAGGAACACCGGUGGCGAAGGCGGGUCUCUGGGCAACAACUGACGCUGAGGAGCGAAAGCGUGGGGAGCGAACAGG
This 253-nucleotide ribosomal RNA is filed under the name uncultured bacterium. RNAcentral describes it as "partial 16S ribosomal RNA". It matches the Rfam family "Bacterial small subunit ribosomal RNA", at positions 524 to 776 of the family's 1533-position model. The record is from RNAcentral.